This 723-nucleotide long non-coding RNA is filed under the name Brassica napus (rape). Its description in RNAcentral is "long non-coding RNA (BNAP_LNC014038)". Lineage: Eukaryota; Viridiplantae; Streptophyta; Magnoliopsida; Brassicales; Brassicaceae. The record is from RNAcentral.
AAAGGGAGUUUAAAAUCUCCUCUAUUAUCAACUUUAGAUCCCUCUCUCCAAUCCUAAACUCUCGUCUCUAAGUGUAGAGAUGUCUGCGUCCAAAAGUUUCUCACUCUAAAAGUCUGUGUCUAGGUAAAACAUAAAAAACCCUAAUAAAUGUCUAACAGGCGGCCAUGGACUCAUGGUGCAAAUCUUGCAACUUCUAGGCAAAACUCGUGAUUUCCUUAAAUCAUCAUUAAACUUUGGAGAUGGCUCGCUGUCGAUCGACGUUGUUAAUGAUCUGUCGAUCGAUGUUUUAUUCAAUAAUCGACUCCGCUUUCAUGUUUUCAGCAAUGCUUUCAUAAAAACUCCAAAAUUGCCCUAAAAUCACCACUUUACUCCAACAGGUACAUGAACCUGUAAAUACUCUAAAAGAUUCCAAAAUGCAUAUAAAAGACUCUAAAAACAUAUAUAAAUCAUGGGUAAAAUUGCGUAAAAUUCAAGGCAUAUCAACUCCCCCAGACUUAUCCUUUUGCUUGUCCUCAAGCAAAAUUUAGGACAAUUUUCUGAAAAAGGUUUAGAAAACAGCAGGGAUUUACAAAAUUUAAAACUACUACUCUCACUUAUACAAAUAUGAUAGGUAGAAAUGAAUCAUUACUAACAUUGGAUGAUUCAAUGUACUACACUCUAGCUUAGUCACCAUUACCAUAUAUCACACAACUCCACUGAUAGCGUCUAACAUACCCCUUCACU